This is a long non-coding RNA of Aphis gossypii (cotton aphid), 343 nucleotides long. RefSeq lists it as uncharacterized. The record is from RefSeq and is a predicted model, not a curated record. Lineage: Eukaryota; Metazoa; Arthropoda; Insecta; Hemiptera; Aphididae. The transcript has 3 exons.
AAUAAAUAAUUGUAUUUAGGUAAACGUGAUCUGAGAAAUAUAAAUAAAUGAAAUUCGUUUGAACACUAGCAGGUUGACAUUUAAAUCAUCAGCGGUCGUGUCGUGUCGUGUCUAAAAGUUGAAAUCGGACCAACUCUGAAAUUUCCUAGUAGUCAUGGUUAAUGAACGAUACAGCGAUUACAGCGGUCAAUCGAAAUACGACGAAGCACACGGCAUGACAAGCGAUUCUCCUAAUAAAUAACUCCGCGAAAAAAAGCAGCAUUUCCAUAAUAUAAUAUGUAUACACAUUGUAUGUACAAGUACAACAUGCACUUCAAAUAAAAAUUUUUCUUUGAGUUUCUGG